Gopherus evgoodei (Goodes thornscrub tortoise) is the source of this 541-nucleotide long non-coding RNA. RefSeq lists it as uncharacterized. The record is from RefSeq and is a predicted model, not a curated record. NCBI's taxonomy places the organism in Eukaryota, Metazoa, Chordata, Testudines, Testudinidae. The transcript has 3 exons.
GGAGGAAGAAAAGCAGUCUGCUUGUUGGAACAAAAGAAAGGCAGAGUCCAUUUGGGAAGUGCUCAGAUACUAUAUUGAGAGUGUCAGAUAAGAAGAUAAAAUUUAUUAGAAGGAUUAUUCUGUAUCUGCAGAAUUUCUUACAAUCAAGAUAGGGAAUGCUACAAAUACUGAAAUAAACUGAAAAGAAGCAUUAUGACCAACCCCCUCUUAGCUCCUGUUUGGACCACUGACCUCUGCCCUCAUCUUCAUCCUCUGCAGCCUGAUGGUACCACAACUUGCUGGGAUAACACUUCUCUGUAACUGAGACAGACAGGGCAGCAGGUUUCAGAAGCUAUUUACCCUUCAAAACUUCUCAUUAGAGAUUAUAGUAAUUUUUUCUCUUUGGGGACAUUAUGUGAAAUCACCCACACAACAUUAAUCCUACAAAAACGAGUGACAGGUGAUGAAAUGCUGUUUUCUCUCUGACAUUUCCACUACAACCCUUAAAUGCUGAUUUUAUUGAAGUGGAGUCAAUGCCCCUUUGAAAGACCUCAAGGGAGAA